CCUACGGGGGGCAGCAGUAGGGAAUCUUCCACAAUGGGCGAAAGCCUGAUGCAGCAACGCCGCGUGGGUGAAGAAGGUCUUCGGAUCGUAAAACCCUGUUGUUAGAGAAGAAAGUGCGUGAGAGUAACUGUUCACGUUUCGACGGUAUCUAACCAGAAAGGCACGGCUAACUACGUGCCAGCAGCCGCGGUAAUACGUAGGAGGCAAGCGUUAUCCGGAUUUAUUGGGCGUAAAGGGAACGCAGGCGGUUUUUUAAGUCUGAUGUGAAAGCCUUCGGCUGAACCGUAGUAGUGCAUUGGAAACUGGGAGACUUGAGUGCAGAUGAGGAGAGUGGAACUCCAUGUGUAGCGGUGAAAUGCGUAGAUAUAUGGAAGAACACCAGUGGCGAAGGCAGCUCUCUGGUCUGUAACUGACGCUGAGGUUCGAAAGCGUGGGUAGCAAACAGGAUUAGAUACCCUUGUAGUC
Molecule: ribosomal RNA, 465 nt
Filed under: uncultured bacterium
Lineage: Bacteria
Description: partial 16S ribosomal RNA
Rfam family: Bacterial small subunit ribosomal RNA
Source: RNAcentral